This 254-nucleotide ribosomal RNA is filed under the name uncultured bacterium. RNAcentral describes it as "partial 16S ribosomal RNA". It matches the Rfam family "Bacterial small subunit ribosomal RNA", at positions 524 to 776 of the family's 1533-position model. The record is from RNAcentral.
GACGUAGGGCGCGAGCGUUGUCCGGAUUUAUUGGGCGUAAAGAGCUCGUAGGCGGCUUGUCGCGUCGUCCGUGAAAACUUGGGGCUCAACCCCCAAGCUUGCGGUCGAUACGGGCAGGCUAGAGUUCGGUAGGGGAGACUGGAAUUCCUGGUGUAGCGGUGAAAUGCGCAGAUAUCAGGAGGAACACCGGUGGCGAAGGCGGGUCUCUGGGCCGAUACUGACGCUGAGGAGCGAAAGCGUGGGGAGCAAACAGG